RNAcentral lists this ribosomal RNA (309 nucleotides) under uncultured bacterium. RNAcentral's name for it is "bacterial SSU rRNA". It matches the Rfam family "Bacterial small subunit ribosomal RNA", at positions 28 to 334 of the family's 1533-position model. The record is from RNAcentral.
GAUGAACGCUAGCGGCAGGCCUAACACAUGCAAGUCGAGGGGUAACAGAGGUAGCUUGCUACUUGCUGACGACCGGCGCACGGGUGCGUAACGCGUAUACAAUCUACCUUUUGCUGAGGGAUAGCCUUUGGAAACGAAGAUUAAUACCUCAUAGUAUGUAGGCUUCUCAUGGAGCUUACAUUAAAGGUUACGGCAAAAGAUGAGUAUGCGUCCUAUUAGUUAGUUGGUGUGGUAACGGCACACCAAGACUACGAUAGGUAGGGGCCCUGAGAGGGGGAUCCCCCACACUGGUACUGAGACACGGACCAG